AAUGCCGUUGUUCCUGUCGUCAGGACUAGGUCGGUCUCGACCAGUUGGGACAGAGCGGUCAGAUCUGCCCGCGCCCCAGUGGCAGGCGACCCGCCUUCCCGCGCCCUCCACACCCUAACGGCCUCCGCUGCGAGUUGGGGCGGUCGCCAUGCUUCCCGGCCCCCCACGCCCGCAGCCACUCAAAUGCGCUGCAUCCUAGCAGCUCGGCAGGGGCUUAGUUUAGGCCCCGCAGGGCUGGGCCGGGAGACAUGGAGGCCGGCGGGGUCUGGGCUGAGAGAGGAGCUGCCAUCAGUCACCGAGGUGUCCCUCUCACUGGAAACUUGUUUUCACUGGCAGACACCAUUGUGGCUUUUGUCUGACUACUGUGUCCAGUUCAUUCCUACCAAGAUUGCCACUCUCUAAGGGAGCCUUGUCCAGAAAAAAAAAUUAAUUUCAGGAAAAAUCUUGGAAUUGAAUUUAAAAGACAACUGGGAAGGCAUAAAUAAUAUAGUUGUCUUGUACAUUUGAGCCUUAGCCCCACGGGAAACUGAAAAAAAAAAUCGGACGGCUCAGUAAAACCUCUUCCUUUCGUUGUAAAUGUUACUCACAGCAUCUUUUCCCAUGUUUGUUGGUGAUAAAUUCACUGUCAUCUCAGUAAGAGUAUAACAUCAUGCUGAAGAUAUUUCUGUGAAGAGUUUUGUACUGAGAACAUCAUACCAGGACAACUCCUUGAAGGGCAUUAAUUGCAGCUUUGGGAUUUAUACUCCCAAAGGCUGCAGUCAAUGAAAGAGUAUCCCAUUAUUCUUUUUGUUUCCAUAAAGAUUACGUUUGCUCUGGGA
This is a long non-coding RNA of Pan troglodytes (chimpanzee), 818 nucleotides long. RefSeq lists it as uncharacterized. The record is from RefSeq and is a predicted model, not a curated record. The transcript has 4 exons. NCBI's taxonomy places the organism in Eukaryota, Metazoa, Chordata, Mammalia, Primates, Hominidae.